CCCCGCACAAGCAGCGGAGCGUGUGGUUUAAUUCGAUGCUACACGAAGAACCUUACCAGGGUUUGACAUGCAAGUGGUAGGAAGCCGAAAGGUGACCGACCCUUCGGGGAGCCUAUACAGGUGUUGCAUGGCUGUCGUCAGCUCGUGUCGUGAGAUGUUCGGUUAAGUCCGCUAACGAGCGCAACCCUCGUCGUAUGUUAUAUGUGUCAUACGAGACUGCCGGUAAAAAGCCGGAGGAAGGUGAGGAUGAUGUCAAGUCAGCAUGACCUUUAUAUCCAGGGCUACACACACGCUACAAUGGUCUGUACAAUGGGUAGCCAAGCCGCGAGGCGGAGCCAAUCCUGAAAGCAGGCCUCAGUUCAGAUUGCAGUCUGCAACUCGACUGCAUGAAGCCGGAGUUGCUAGUAACCGCAGGUCAGCAAUACUGCGGUGAAUACGUUCCCGGGGCUU
This 450-nucleotide ribosomal RNA is filed under the name uncultured Anaerolineaceae bacterium. Its description in RNAcentral is "bacterial SSU rRNA". It matches the Rfam family "Bacterial small subunit ribosomal RNA", at positions 919 to 1382 of the family's 1533-position model. Lineage: Bacteria; Bacillati; Chloroflexota; Anaerolineae; Anaerolineales; Anaerolineaceae. The record is from RNAcentral.